RNAcentral lists this ribosomal RNA (467 nucleotides) under uncultured bacterium. RNAcentral describes it as "partial 16S ribosomal RNA". It matches the Rfam family "Bacterial small subunit ribosomal RNA", at positions 28 to 507 of the family's 1533-position model. The record is from RNAcentral.
GAUGAACGCUGGCGGCGUGCUUAACACAUGCAAGUCGAACGGAAAGGCCCAAGCUUGCUUGGGUACUCGAGUGGCGAACGGGUGAGUAACACGUGGGUGAUCUGCCCUGCACUUCGGGAUAAGCCUGGGAAACUGGGUCUAAUACCGGAUAGGACGAUGGUUUGGAUGCCAUUGUGGAAAGUUUUUUCGGUGUGGGAUGAGCUCGCGGCCUAUCAGCUUGUUGGUGGGGUAAUGGCCUACCAAGGCGUCGACGGGUAGCCGGCCUGAGAGGGUGUACGGCGACAUUGGGACUGAGAUACGGCCCAGACUCCUACGGGAGGCAGCAGUGGGGAAUAUUGCACAAUGGGCGCAAGCCUGAUGCAGCGACGCCGCGUGGGGGAUGACGGCCUUCGGGUUGUAAACUCCUUUCGCUAGGGACGAAGCGUUUUGUGACGGUACCUGGAGAAGAAGCACCGGCUAACUACGUG